AGGAUGGAAUCAAAACAACGUGCCUUUGUCCAGUUUUUAUAAACACUGGAUUUGUCAAAAACCCCAGUACCAGGCUUGGAAAGAUUUUGGAGAUUGAAGAAGUCGUACAGGCUUUGAUGGAAGGAAUAGUGACCAACCAGAAAAUGGUUUUCGUUCCCUCAAAUCAGAGCAUUGCUUUACUGCUUGAAAGGGUGUUUCCAGAACGUGCCCUGAACCUUCUGAAGAAGAUUUCUGAAGUCAAGUUUGAUGCAGUCAUUGGGCAGAGAAGCACACAGUGAAAAGCAAGAAUUGAUUCUCAUUUCCCAGAGGCACCAGUGAAAAGAGAACAUGUGCUGAGCGUAGUUCAGCUGCCUGGAUUCCAAACAGAGCUCAGGCAGGUGCUUCCAGGCCACCAUUCCCAGGCACACCUAAGGGCUUAUCCCACACCUGCAGCUGGAGCACAGCUGCAUAACAGGGUGUAUUAGCAAAGCAGUGAUGCCACUCUAGAAGGGCUGCUUUGAAUGUACAUCCCAUUACAUUUGUCUCAUUGUGCUGAGGUAGGCAGGAAUUCCCACAAAGGUGGGUAGUCUAUUUUCACCUCAGUUUAUAUUGUUGAAUUAUAAAAUGCUCUAAAGAACAUUGAAUUUCCCAUAUUUUUGCAGGAAAUACCUGAAAUAAUACAGGUCUAUAUGUAAUAUACCUAAUUACAUUGAUUAUCAAUUACACAUUUGCACCAUCAAUAUGCCUUUAUAUGAAUAAAUGCAUAUAAGUUCUUUAACACAAGGACCACAGUGUCUCUUGGCAGUGAAAGUCAUAAUCACGUCCUAGAGAUGCAUAUAAGGUACAGUAUCAAGGAAUACAGAAUACACCUUUCCCUGUAUCAUUGCUCACACUGCUCCUGUGCACUUUCCAGACAUCUUUAAAACACCUUCUUAUGAAAACAGUGCAGUAUUUCUCUGCAAAUGACUGGGUGCCACAAGUGCAGCCCACACAGGUGCCAGGGCCAAGGCUAGGCCAGGGGGUGCAGGGGGAGGCUCCAGAUGAGCCUUCACACAGCUCCUCAUCACAAGCCAGGGGCCUGCUCUGUUGGCACAGGAAGUGAAAUCCCUGAAGGUCUUUGGCCUGGGGUCCAAGAAAGCAGCAGCUGCUGGCACAUGGGUCAAAGACCCCUCCAGAGCACAGAGGAUCUGUGCACCCACUUGUGCAAUUCCUGCUGCAGGCACUGCUGGCCCACAGCCAUCCCAGGCAGGCCUGAAUGUGCUGCCACCUUCGGCACAGUUGGAAUCUGUCCUGUUCACCUGAGCCUUUCAAGCUGUUCUGUAAACCAAGGUU
Zonotrichia albicollis (white-throated sparrow) is the source of this 1311-nucleotide non-coding RNA. The record is from RefSeq and is a predicted model, not a curated record. Lineage: Eukaryota; Metazoa; Chordata; Aves; Passeriformes; Passerellidae.